RNAcentral lists this long non-coding RNA (143 nucleotides) under Phasianus colchicus (ring-necked pheasant). Its description in RNAcentral is "lncRNA (ENSPCLG00000016563.1)". Lineage: Eukaryota; Metazoa; Chordata; Aves; Galliformes; Phasianidae. The record is from RNAcentral.
UCAUCCAGUGUCACCCAUUGUCCCUUCAGUGUCACCCACUGUCACCCAUUGUCCCCUUAGUGUCACCCCUUGUCACCCAUUGUCCCCUUUGUCACCCGUUGUCACCCACUGUCACCUAAUGUCCCUUAGUGUCACCCAAUGUC